Grammomys surdaster is the source of this 890-nucleotide long non-coding RNA. RefSeq lists it as uncharacterized. The transcript is spliced from 4 exons. NCBI's taxonomy places the organism in Eukaryota, Metazoa, Chordata, Mammalia, Rodentia, Muridae. The record is from RefSeq and is a predicted model, not a curated record.
AAGAGGAUGGCGAGGAGACCCGCAGAGAGGGUGCGGGCGCCGGCUACCUGAAGGAGCCUUUGUUCGGCCCGGGCGCCGGGAGCGCAUUCUUUCACACCAGGAACGGCGGGAGAAGACGUUCAUUCAGUCCGCUUUCUUGGUGACGUAGUUGGGGCAUUCAUGUGUUUUUAACCUUGAAUAAUUUUUGUCUCUAAGCUCCAAACAAGCCUUAUCCUGUCCACAGGGGCGCAAAGCCCGGCCAUGGCCGUUACAAUCCACAGCUUAUCUAAGAAAAGCAGAGGCGGCCUCUCCCGGAAUGGCAGGGUUUGUGGGGAUCAACGCUCUUGCUGCCUUUCGCUGCACACCGGAGCAGAGAAUCGAAUCAGGGUUGGAUACAGAUGAGAAGGUGCAGUUCUGUCCCCUUUCGGUGGACACAAGGAGAUCUAAGUCUGGUACAAUGGAAGCUGUGUGCAGUCAGUAAAUUUGAAUGGACACAAUGAAGCCUAUCAAUCAGUGUGAACCACGGGAAGCCUCCACCUCUCUUAGAUCCCAUCCCAGCUUUCAGGAUUGUAGCUCCAGAGUCUCCACUUCCUACUGGGCCAGCACCUUCCACUUGGAGACUCUUUAGAAGCAUAUUGAUCCUUUCUUCUUCACCUCCUGCUGUCCCCAACCCUACCACCAUGCAUGGAGUCUGCUCAAGAAACAUGGCCUGAUGCUCAAAUUGAAAGGAAAGAGAGUCAAGUUCUCUGGGUAGAUAGUGGAGGGGCCGUAUUCUAUUCUGCUUGGCCUCUGUGGACAGGAACUACUCACUCACCUGAAUACAGCAGCUGUUCCUAUGCAGGACAAUCUAUCUGACUAAAAAGAGAAAAGAAACAGGGAAGAAAAGGAAAAAGGAAUCCGAAUUAUUUCCU